RNAcentral lists this ribosomal RNA (104 nucleotides) under uncultured bacterium. RNAcentral describes it as "partial 16S ribosomal RNA". The record is from RNAcentral.
AAGGCCUUCGGGUUGUAAACCACUUUUGUCAGGGAAGAAAUUGGCCAGGUUAACACCUUGGCUAGAUGACGGUACCUGGAGAAGAAGCCCCGGCUAACUUCGUG